GACGAACGCUGGCGGCGUGCUUAACACAUGCAAGUCGAACGGAAAGGCCCUGCUUGCAGGGUACUCGAGUGGCGAACGGGUGAGUAACACGUGGGUGAUCUGCCCUGCACUUCGGGAUAAGCUUGGGAAACUGGGUCUAAUACCGGAUAGGAGCCAUCUUUAGUGUGGUGGUUGGAAAGUUUUUUCGGUGUAGGAUGAGCUCGCGGCCUAUCAGCUUGUUGGUGGGGUAAUGGCCUACCAAGGCGGCGACGGGUAGCCGGCCUGAGAGGGUGUACGGCCACAGUGGGACUGAGAUACGGCCCAGACUCCUACGGGAGGCAGAAGUGGGGAAUAUUGCACAAUGGGCGCAAGCCUGAUGCAGCGACGCCGCGUGGGGGAUGAAGGCCUUCGGGUUGUAAACUCCUUUCGCUAGGGACGAAGCUUUUUUGUGACGGUACCUAGAUAAGAAGCACCGGCUAACUACGUG
Molecule: ribosomal RNA, 466 nt
Filed under: uncultured bacterium
Lineage: Bacteria
Description: partial 16S ribosomal RNA
Rfam family: Bacterial small subunit ribosomal RNA
Source: RNAcentral